Molecule: non-coding RNA, 72 nt
Organism: Podarcis lilfordi (Lilford's wall lizard)
Lineage: Eukaryota; Metazoa; Chordata; Lepidosauria; Squamata; Lacertidae
Source: the annotation of a GenBank genome assembly
ACCCCCAGUGGCACAAUGGGUCAGUGCAUCUGGCUGUUAAUCAAGCUGGUGGUUCAAGCCCACCUAGGGAUG